This 693-nucleotide ribosomal RNA is filed under the name Salmonella enterica subsp. enterica serovar Aqua str. NVSL2001. RNAcentral's name for it is "bacterial LSU rRNA". It matches the Rfam family "Bacterial large subunit ribosomal RNA", at positions 2251 to 2925 of the family's 2925-position model. The record is from RNAcentral. Lineage: Bacteria; Pseudomonadati; Pseudomonadota; Gammaproteobacteria; Enterobacterales; Enterobacteriaceae.
ACAGUGUCUGGUGGGUAGUUUGACUGGGGCGGUCUCCUCCUAAAGAGUAACGGAGGAGCACGAAAGUUGGCUAAUCCUGGUCGGACAUCAGGAGGUUAGUGCAAUGGCAUAAGCCAGCUUGACUGCGAGCGUGACGGCGCGAGCAGGUGCGAAAGCAGGUCAUAGUGAUCCGGUGGUUCUGAAUGGAAGGGCCAUCGCUCAACGGAUAAAAAGGUACUCCGGGGAUAACAGGCUGAUACCGCCCAAGAGUUCAUAUCGACGGCGGUGUUUGGCACCUCGAUGUCGGCUCAUCACAUCCUGGGGCUGAAGUAGGUCCCAAGGGUAUGGCUGUUCGCCAUUUAAAGUGGUACGCGAGCUGGGUUUAGAACGUCGUGAGACAGUUCGGUCCCUAUCUGCCGUGGGCGCUGGAGAACUGAGGGGGGCUGCUCCUAGUACGAGAGGACCGGAGUGGACGCAUCACUGGUGUUCGGGUUGUCAUGCCAAUGGCACUGCCCGGUAGCUAAAUGCGGAAGAGAUAAGUGCUGAAAGCAUCUAAGCACGAAACUUGCCCCGAGAUGAGUUCUCCCUGAGACUUAGAGUCUCCUGAAGGAACGUUGAAGACGACGACGUUGAUAGGCCGGGUGUGUAAGCGCAGCGAUGCGUUGAGCUAACCGGUACUAAUGAACCGUGAGGCUUAACCUUACAACGCCGAAG